This 311-nucleotide ribosomal RNA is filed under the name Inocybe sp. K10. RNAcentral describes it as "eukaryotic LSU rRNA". It matches the Rfam family "Eukaryotic large subunit ribosomal RNA", at positions 24 to 326 of the family's 3401-position model. Lineage: Eukaryota; Fungi; Basidiomycota; Agaricomycetes; Agaricales; Inocybaceae. The record is from RNAcentral.
CCCGCUGRACUUAAGCAUAUCAAUAAGCGGAGGAAAAGAAACUAACAAGGAUUCCCCUAGUAACUGCGAGUGAAGCGGGAAAAGCUCAAAUUUGAAAUCUGGCAGUUCUUUUGACUGUCCGAGUUGUAAUCUAGAGAAGUGUUACCUGUGCUGGACCAUGUACAAGUCUUCUGGAAUGGAGCAUCAUAGAGGGUGAGAAUCCCGUCUUUGACAUGGACUACCAGUGCACUGUGGUGCGCUCUCAAAGAGUCGAGUUGUUUGGGAAUGCAGCUCAAAAUGGGUGGUAAAUGCCAUCUAAAGCUAAAUAUUGG